AUUGAACGCUGGCGGCAGGCCUAACACAUGCAAGUCGAGCGGAUGAAGGGAGCUUGCUCCUGGAUUCAGCGGCGGACGGGUGAGUAAUGCCUAGGAAUCUGCCUGGUAGUGGGGGAUAACGUCCGGAAACGGGCGCUAAUACCGCAUACGUCCUGAGGGAGAAAGUGGGGGAUCUUCGGACCUCACGCUAUCAGAUGAGCCUAGGUCGGAUUAGCUAGUUGGUGGGGUAAAGGCCUACCAAGGCGACGAUCCGUAACUGGUCUGAGAGGAUGAUCAGUCACACUGGAACUGAGACACGGUCCAGACUCCUACGGGAGGCAGCAGUGGGGAAUAUUGGACAAUGGGCGAAAGCCUGAUCCAGCCAUGCCGCGUGUGUGAAGAAGGUCUUCGGAUUGUAAAGCACUUUAAGGUGGGAGGAAGGGCAGUAAGUUAAUACCUUGCUGUUUUGACGUUACCAACAGAAUAAGCACCGGCUAACUUCG
Molecule: ribosomal RNA, 482 nt
Filed under: uncultured bacterium
Lineage: Bacteria
Description: partial 16S ribosomal RNA
Rfam family: Bacterial small subunit ribosomal RNA
Source: RNAcentral